AAUUAAACUAGAUCCAUCAUCUAAAAAUUUUUGGACCUGUAAGAGAUGAACUGUCGUCUGUAAUAUAGGCAGUUGAGCUUUUUGACUAUUACGCGCAAGAUGUUCUAGUAUUUGAUCAUCGUUUUCAUUUUUUUCUGGAGAAGGAUUCGAGUAUUGUGACCGCUUAAACUCAAACAUCCAGGCCAAUGCAAAAUUAAGACAAGCAGUAUCGCCGCUUUCACGAGCAGUAUUAAUCGUAUCUUCAAUCGCAUGAAGAGCUUCUUCAUUACAGCCAAAAUCGGCUUGAAGCAUGGCAAGAUUGAGGAGAGCGUACUGAUAAGAAACCUUUUCAUCAGAAUGCAUAAUGUGAUCAAAAUAUCUGCAAAGAUUUUCCACGGAUUGCUGAUAAUCACCACUAAACCAGGAAUUUAAGAAUCUUAGU
Molecule: non-coding RNA, 421 nt
Organism: Schizosaccharomyces pombe (fission yeast)
Lineage: Eukaryota; Fungi; Ascomycota; Schizosaccharomycetes; Schizosaccharomycetales; Schizosaccharomycetaceae
Source: the annotation of a GenBank genome assembly